CUUGCAGACCCGCGCCAGUGGCCUCGUGCUGGCCCGGCUGCCAGCUGGCUAGGCUCUGCUGUGGCUCUGGGGGUUGCCACUGGAGGAGUCUCCACGGCCUAGGCCGGAGUGUCUCCAGGCCGAGUGUGCAGCCAGCACUGGACAGGCCCUCUCUGCUCCUUCCUGCUCGGCCGGUCGCUCCAGCCUCUGCUGCCGGAACUCCUGUGAGAAAACCCGAGGCUUUUAGAUGAUCUCCAUGCCAAGCAGGGGAGAGAGACUGAGAGGCUGCCCCUGGGCUCUAGUGAGGUGCUCAGAGCAGGCUCCGGGUAGGCCUGGUUAGGGAGAGGGGCUCCACUUGUUCCCAAGGGACUAGUGUCUGAAGCAAGGAGCAGGGAGAAAUUACCUAUCUCUUCCUCUCUUAGCCCGACAUGAAUUGGAUUUUCCCUCCUCUGGCCCCCACGUAGGCCAGUGUGAGGCACACAGACGUUCAUCUCUACUGUGGGCAGCCGCUGGCCCCCCAACGGCUUCCUGACAAGCCGGGUUCUGGUCCCUGUGAAAGCGAAAGCGAGCCUGCCUGAAAGCCCAUCAGCAGGAAACCCGUUUGGAUCUGGACGGCUGCUGGAGCAUUGUGUGUGCUCUUUUAUACUACCUGCUUUCCAGAACUGUACUUCUCAGCUUGUCAGAAGCCAGGGGUGGUAAUCUCCAGAAUAAAAGGAGAAAUGGAAGUGAGAGGCCUCCAUGGGUAAACCCAAAUUUAAACUAAACUGCCUCCGCCCCAAAGCUCCCAAGAAGUUCUUCCCCCUGGCUUUCCAUUUCUUUAUUUUGCACUUUGAAAGCUCCCUCCAUCCUGAACAUUCUUGUGGAAAGUAUUUGAUUCCAGGGUCCGAAGUGUUUUUUGUCUAUUU
Molecule: long non-coding RNA, 884 nt
Organism: Hyaena hyaena (striped hyena)
Lineage: Eukaryota; Metazoa; Chordata; Mammalia; Carnivora; Hyaenidae
Exons: 2
Source: RefSeq, a predicted model, not a curated record